Molecule: transfer RNA, 87 nt
Filed under: Phycisphaerales bacterium
Lineage: Bacteria; Pseudomonadati; Planctomycetota; Phycisphaerae; Phycisphaerales
Description: tRNA-Ser
Rfam family: tRNA
About the family: Transfer RNA (tRNA) molecules are approximately 80 nucleotides in length.
Source: RNAcentral
GGAGGCGUGGCCGAGUGGCUGAAGGCGACGGUCUUGAAAACCGUUAGGCUCGAAAGAGUCUCGGGGGUUCGAAUCCCUCCGCCUCCG